UGCGCAGGCGGCCAUGUGUGUGAGGCGUGAAAGCCCGGGGCUUAACCCCGGAAUUGCACCUCAAACUACAUGGCUAGAGAAUUGGAGAGGGUAACGGAAUUCACGGUGUAGCAGUGAAAUGCGUAGAUAUCGUGAGGAACACCAGAGGCGAAGGCGGUUACCUGGACAAUUUCUGACGCUCAGGCACGAAAGCGUGGGUAGCAAAAGGGAUUAGAUACCCCUGUAGUCCACGCCCUAAACGGUGCACACUAGGUCUUGGCGGAUUCGACCCCGUCAGGGCCCAAGCUAACGCGUUAAGUGUGCCGCCUGAGGACUACGGCCGCAAGGCUAAA
Molecule: ribosomal RNA, 332 nt
Filed under: uncultured bacterium
Lineage: Bacteria
Description: bacterial SSU rRNA
Rfam family: Bacterial small subunit ribosomal RNA
Source: RNAcentral